GACGAACGCUGGCGGCAUUCCUAACACAUGCAAGUCGAACGCUAUUUAUAGAGUGGCGCACGGGUGAGUAACGCGUGGGAACCUGCCUUUUUCUGCGGGAUAACGGUUGGAAACGACCGCUAAUACCGCAUACGCCCUGAGGGGGAAAGGUCCGCCGGAGAAAGAAGGGCCCGCGUCUGAUUAGUUAGUUGGUGGGGUAAUGGCCUACCAAGGCGACGAUCAGUAGCUGGUCUGAGAGGAUGAUCAGCCACACUGGGACUGAGACACGGCCCAGACUCCUACGGGAGGCAGCAGUGGGGAAUAUUGGACAAUGGGGGCAACCCUGAUCCAGCAAUGCCGCGUGUGUGAUGAAGGCCUUAGGGUUGUAAAGCACUUUCACUGGUGAAGAUGAUGACGGUAACCAGAGAAGAAGCCCCGGCUAACUUCGUGCCAGCAGCCGCGGUAAUACGAAGGGGGCGAGCGUUGUUCGGAAUUACUGGGCGUAAAGGGCGCGUAGGCGGUCUUUUAAGUUAGGCGUGAAAUCCCCGGGCUCAACCUGGGAACUGCGCUUAAAACUGAAAGACUAGAAAACCGGAAGAGGGUAGUGGGAAUUCCCAUUGUC
RNAcentral lists this ribosomal RNA (601 nucleotides) under uncultured marine bacterium. RNAcentral describes it as "bacterial SSU rRNA". It matches the Rfam family "Bacterial small subunit ribosomal RNA", at positions 28 to 677 of the family's 1533-position model. The record is from RNAcentral.